This 914-nucleotide long non-coding RNA is filed under the name Cyanistes caeruleus (blue tit). RNAcentral describes it as "lncRNA (ENSCCEG00000010863.1)". Lineage: Eukaryota; Metazoa; Chordata; Aves; Passeriformes; Paridae. The record is from RNAcentral.
GGGUUCAGCUGUAGGCUGAUAAACAUGUGAGAACAUGAAGAAAUCCUGUAAAUUGGGAAUGUUGGGCCUUCAACUGCAGUGAAUUAGUGCAUAUGCUUGCUUCAGUCAUGAUCUGUCUGCUCACCAGCCAAGAGCCUGUGGUCCUGCGUCUCACUUUGUGGUGUUUAGGUACAGACAGAAAGGUAUAACCUGUCCUAGUUUAAGUUCAGCUGUGAGCACGGCACUCUAUGUUUCCACACCAGGUGGAUAUCAUAGCAACCACAGCUUGAGGAGGAAAAAAACCCAAAUAUUGUGAGUCUGAAAACCUGCUUUCUUUCGCAAUCUCUUAUUUCCAGGUGCUUGUAUCUAUAACAAACAGCUGCACAUGAAGUUGAGUUUUUCCAGACAAAGACAUUGUUCUAAAGGUUUGCCUUCACAUUUACCUUUUGAACAUGAAAAAGGCUAUUUUUUCCAUGGAGAGGAAAGGAUAAUUACAGGUCUUUGUAAGAAGAGUUACACUUCUGAGACGACCAAGGAAAUUCCUAGCCUGGAGAAUUUACUGGUGACAACCUCUCUCAGGUCACCAGCAAUUCAAUGUUAUAAAGGUCUUUGUUGAGACAUCACACACAACAUCAUGUUACAGUUAAUGUCCAAAUGUUGACUGAUGUAUGAAUGAUCUCCAAGGUUGUAACAAUUUUCAGUGGCGUUAGUAGCAGCACCCAAUUUUACUUGAAUUCUGAUGAAUUUUGAAAAACACUCACACUGGAAUAUUACUAUCUGCUAAGGGAGGAUGUAUAUAUACUGCAAUGUAUUGUAAUGAGAUAAGUUCCUGGUUGUCAAUUUUAAUAGUUGCCCCAACAGACACUGGAAAGCUGAUGACUGAAAUUUAUUACAUAAACAAUAAACAAUAAGCAAUUUUAUAUGUAAAUUCCUGG